GAUGAACGCUGGCGGCGUGCCUAAUACAUGCAAGUCGAGCGAACGGACGAGAAGCAUGCUUCUCUGAUGUUAGCGGCGGACGGGUGAGUAACACGUGGAUAACCUACCUAUAAGACUGGGAUAACUUCGGGAAACCGGAGCUAAUACCGGAUAAUAUUUUGAACCGCAUGGUUCAAAAGUGAAAGACGGUCUUGCUGUCACUUAUAGAUGGAUCCGCGCUGCAUUAGCUAGUUGGUAAGGUAACGGCUUACCAAGGCAACGAUGCAUAGCCGACCUGAGAGGGUGAUCGGCCACACUGGAACUGAGACACGGUCCAGACUCCUACGGGAGGCAGCAGUAGGGAAUCUUCCGCAAUGGGCGAAAGCCUGACGGAGCAACGCCGCGUGAGUGAUGAAGGUCUUCGGAUCGUAAAACUCUGUUAUUAGGGAAGAACAUAUGUGUAAGUAACUGUGCACAUCUUGACGGUACCUAAUCAGAAAGCCACGGCUAACUACGU
This 496-nucleotide ribosomal RNA is filed under the name uncultured bacterium. Its description in RNAcentral is "partial 16S ribosomal RNA". It matches the Rfam family "Bacterial small subunit ribosomal RNA", at positions 28 to 506 of the family's 1533-position model. The record is from RNAcentral.